This 3780-nucleotide long non-coding RNA is filed under the name Scophthalmus maximus (turbot). RNAcentral's name for it is "lncRNA (ENSSMAG00000024441.1)". Lineage: Eukaryota; Metazoa; Chordata; Actinopteri; Pleuronectiformes; Scophthalmidae. The record is from RNAcentral.
GGCAACGUGGGCUCGCUGUAAGAGAACCUGUCGACCUUCGCAGCUGUCGCUCCGUCCGCGUCUUCCUCCCUCCGUCCCACGGCUCCAUCACCUGGGUUCAGUCUGCCGCUCUCUCCCAGGUGUUGGUACCUGCCGCUGCCCGUCUGUCUGCCUCCUCCUCUGGUCCGUCUGUAAUUCACAAAGUCAUCACAGGAAGGACGAUGGAGGGAGGGAGGAGGGAGCAGAAAGGGAUUCAUCAGGAGCCAGAAGCUCUUUUUUAUCCUGAAUGGCAAAAAAAAAAAAGGGUCUUUCCAGCUUCAUCACAGGCCGAUGGCAGAUCUGAGAUAUCGGGGAGGUUUUGGAGAAUGGCCUUUUCUCCUCGGCAGCUUUGCCAACUGGAACUCUCUCUGGACGAGGAGCAGGAUCGACGUCUCCAGGGCGGCGUGGAACAAGACGUUUACUCGACAUAUUUGAGCAGCGCUGGAAGUUUCAGCUCUUUUCAAAUGGUUCUACGUCGUCACAGAGCCACAUCGACCGUCGGAGCUGAAGCUGCAUUAUUUUCACUUUGAACAGGAAUAAAAACACCAUGAAGUCUGUACUUGGAAGAACAUAUCAAUACGUAUGAACACGCCUAUUGUUCACUAUUGAGCCGUUUCUUUCUUCUGCGUCACUUCAGCUCGGACGUUAUUGAUCGAAUGUGAAAAACAUGAGUCCACCUCAGAGUUUCUCAUCAUGUCACAGACGUGCAGUCUUUAUUGAAAUGUGCUUGCAUAUCAAAGAGUCACAGUUUAUUUCCUGUCGUGUGACGGAUGUAUUUGUAGAUACUGCAGCAGCUCACGUUCAGUUUUCACACUGCUCAAGGGAAAAUAUUUGUUAUUUUGUUUCACUAUUUCAUUUAUUUGAAGAUAUUUGGUAUAAUGCCUGCUGGAAUGUUAAAUAGAAAAAGUUCAGUGUCAGAUAAACAUUUAAAAUUUGUAGUUUUUGUAAUUGAUUUUGAUUUUGAACAGAUGACAAAUUCACAUGCGGUAUUCCGCCAAGUGUUUCAUUCUUUUCGGUUUCACAAUUUUCUUAUUUCGGUUGUCAGCUGUCAUCUGCGCAUGAACGGUCGUCGUCGUUCGAAAAACAAGAUCCAAUGACUCCUGUCUUUGAAGAUGUCCGGGUUUCAAGAAGAAAUGUCUACGUAAGUAAGUCACAGGCGUCUGUUCGUCAUCACAGACGUAGACGGACGUUCUCUCCAGUAGGACACACGUGCAUGUGGUGGGACGGCUUGUUAGUGCCGCCGCCGGCCUCCAUGUGCCGGGGGAUGAAACACAACGGAGGAGGCGUCGCGCCUCCAUCCUCCCGUGUCUUAAGUGGCAGACGUGGUCUGAUUACAGCUGUGGGACUCACUGGGAGUCACUCCGUCAAUCAUGACCUUCUGGUGUGAUCACGCCACCGAUCACAGCGACGGCUCCAUUGAUUGAAUGAAUAUUCAUUCUUGUGUGUUCUCAGGAGACUUUGCUUUUACAACCUCAGACCUCGGCGUCAAUGAAGACAAGGAUCAUUUACUUCAGAUGGAUUUCCUGCGCGAGUAACCUCUUUGAUUGUGGAUCUGUGGAUUGGUCAACUGAUGUAAUGACUUUCUGGUAUAUGCUCACGCACACUUUCACUCCUUUUAAACCAACCAACCACUUUUCCAUCAAACUGUUUUGUCUUGCCUUUCAAAGGCUCGUCUCAGAAAGGAAGAGGACCCAGUAUCUUUAAACCUGUAGAUUAAAUAUAAAUGCUGUUGUGAUCCAUCGCUGUGAUGCUCCCAUAUCUACUCUUUGUUCACCGCGCAUGAAUCAGGAGCUUCUGUCCAGAGCGAGCGAUUGAAAAGGACGAGGCACCGGGCGAGUUGGAGGUAGAUGCAAAGGCCUCACCUCCUCAUGUGACUAUGGAUCAUUAGAUCACACGACGGAACAGUCUGGUGAUUAGUCUCGUUUCAUCACACGGAUCGAUUCCGAAAGAAAAGCAGAGAAUAGAAUUGACUGUUGUUCUUUCCGUCUCAGCAGGAUCAUGUCGCGGAUGUGUAACCGGCUCAGGUCCUCCUGAGGCCUUCACCCUAUUCAACAUUAUCUGACGAGUCAGUCUGUCGGGGCCAAGGAACUCAGUUACUUCUUUAACACCAUCUAAAUUUAUGAAAAUCGAUAAUAAAAAUGAACAAAAGAGCUGUAAAGACUUACAUCGAGGGGGAUGCCGUUCCAUGAGGUUUGAACUCGAAAGAAACUGAGAUCCAGAGUUUGUAAAAUAUUUAAGUCUUUUGAUUAAUAAAUUAUAAGCAGACAAUAACUGUCUCAUCUGAAGGAAGCGAACUUGUAGUUUCUUCCAUCUUCUCUGCUUUUCCAAAUUCUCUUUGUGGAUGAGGAGCGUCCUCGUCGUUACCCGAGGUGAGUGAUUCUGACUCGCGUCUCGACCGCGGCCUGAUGGGAGCAAUGCGAUCGUGGAAACAUUAAACCGAUCACCCAGGUAAUUUGCUUCAUAACACCUGGUUAGGCCGCCGCUCUGAGCAGAGAGAACACGGGGGUGAAACGAUUGGCUGAUCUCAUUAAGGAUGCGACAGUGAGCCGUACGUUUUGAGGGAUGAGCAGCUACUUCAGAGGCAAAGUCCCUCAAAAGUCUUGGAGUUGAUGAAUAAAAACCGUAGUAAAAACCAAAUCAAGAGUGGGGCCUUGUUCAUGUGUGGGAUGUGAUCUACCAGCGAGGUCGUCCACACGACUACUGACGUCUUCGACCGAGAAAAACUGAAAUAAAAACCAGAGACAUCAGAUAAGAAGGAACUGUACUACUGGGUUCAGGGGGCGAUGGUCUUAAUGCUGCCUUCAUGUGCCAGUUGAAAGAUGCUACUUCCCACUUGUGAAGGCGCAAUUAUGAGAAGGUCAUGUUCAAGUGUUGUGUUGUGAAAUGGCAAAAAGGCCAAUGCAAUAACUUUGUACCGCGCUAGCAGACUGUGGUCUGUUUACUAUGGAUAGACCGAUAAAUGGCAUUGGUCUAUAUCAAGUUAGGUGAACAUAGAUUACAGAUUAACAGCUUAUACUUGUCGCACUGUUAUAAAAUAAAGAAGUACGUACCAUCCAUUACUGGAUCUGUCCUCUUCUCCGACAUGUGGAAGGGUUCUGGUCGCCCCAACUGGGGAACUCUGGUCUCCAAAUUAGCAACUCGUAUUUACCAUAGCGUCGAUACCACAUGAAGACACCAGCUCCGCUGAGCUCUCCCUUUCAUUCAGCGCUAAUUGUGACAAUCAUUCCACCGGGACGUCGAGCGGCUCCAUCAGUGCCGUCGCUCCAGUCGCGGCUGCUCCUUCUCCGUUGCUCCGGCCUGAAUCCCCCCGUGGCCGUCGCUCCCCUCAGAGCCUCCCACAUCCCGUCAUCGGGCAGCAGGCGACUGAAGACCAGAUGAGACCAGAUGAGACCAGAUGAGACCAGAUGAGACCAGAUGAGAACAGAUGAGACCAGAUGAGACCAGAUGAGACCAGAUGAGAACAGAUGAGACCAGAUGAGACCAGAUGAGACCAGAUGAGAACAGAUGAGACCAGAUGAGAACAGAUGAGACCAGAUGAGACCAGAUGAGACCAGAUGAGAACAGAUGAGACCAGAUGAGAACAGAUGAGACCAGAUGAGAACAGAUGAGAACAGAUGAGACCAGAUGAGACCAGAUGAGAGCAGAUGAGAACAGAUGAGACCAGAUGAGACCAGAUGAGACCAGAUGAGACCAGAUGAGACCAGAUGAGACCAGAUGAGAACAGAUGAGAACAGAUGAGACCAGAUGAGACCAGAUGAGAGC